UACAGGGGGUGCAAACGUUGCUCGGAAUCAUUGGGCGUAAAGCGCACGUAGGCGGUUUGUUAUGUCGGAUGUGAAAGCCCUUGGCUCAACUGAGGAAGUGCAUCCGAAACUGGCAGCUAGAGUACUAAAGAGGGUCGCGGAAUUCCCGGUGUAGAGGUGAAAUUCGUAGAUAUCGGGAGGAACACCGGUGGCGAAGGGCGGCGACCUGGGUAGAUACUGACGCUGAGGUGCGAAAGCGGUGGGGAGCAAACAGG
Molecule: ribosomal RNA, 254 nt
Filed under: uncultured bacterium
Lineage: Bacteria
Description: partial 16S ribosomal RNA
Rfam family: Bacterial small subunit ribosomal RNA
Source: RNAcentral